UACGGGGGGGGCAAGCGUUGUUCGGAAUUACUGGGCGUAAAGGGCUCGUAGGCGGCCAACUAAGUCAGACGUGAAAUCCCUAGGCUCAACCUAGGAACUGCGUCUGAUACUGGAUGGCUUGAAUCCGGGAGAGGGAUGCAGAAUUCCAGGUGUAGCGGUGAAAUGCGUAGAUAUCUGGAGGAAUACCGGUGGCGAAGGUGGCAUCCCGGACCGGCAUUGACGCUGAGGAGCGAAAGCCAGGGGAGCAAACGGG
This 253-nucleotide ribosomal RNA is filed under the name uncultured bacterium. Its description in RNAcentral is "partial 16S ribosomal RNA". It matches the Rfam family "Bacterial small subunit ribosomal RNA", at positions 524 to 776 of the family's 1533-position model. The record is from RNAcentral.